UUCGAUUCCGUAAGUAGCGGCGAGCGAACGCGGAAGAGCCCAAACCAAUAAAGUUUUCUUUAUUGGGGUUGCGGACAUAUCAUAACGAAGAGGUAUCGUAAUUGAAGAGGUUUGGAAAGACCCACCACAGAAGGUAAUAGUCCUGUAUGUUAAACGAGAAAACUUUAGAUAUGAUCCAGAGUACCACGGGACACGUGAAACCCUGUGGGAAGCAGGAGGGACCACCCUCCAAGGCUAAAUACUACCUAGUGACCGAUAGCGUAUAGUACCGUGAGGGAAAGGUGAAAAGAACCCCGGGAGGGGAGUGAAAUAGAACCUGAAACCCUGCACUUACAAGCUGUGGAAGCACAUUUCUUGUGUGACCGCGUACUUUUUGUAGAACGGGCCAACGAGUUACGUUAAGUAGCAAGGUUAAGCACUUAAGGUGUGGAGCCGUAGCGAAAGCGAGUUUUAACUGAGCGUUCAGUUACUUGACGUAGACCCGAAACCGGGCGACCUACCCAUGAGCAGGAUGAAGCGAAAGUAAAAUUUCGUGGAGGUCCGAACCCACGAGCGUUGAAAAGCUCGGGGAUGACUUGUGGGUAGCGGUGAAAUUCCAAUCGAGCCCGGAGAUAGCUGGUUCUCCCCGAAAUAGCUUUAGGGCUAGCCUCAAGGUGAGAGAUACGGAGGUAGAGCACUGAAUGUCCUAGGGGGUAUUGCACCUACCGAAGACUAUCAAACUCCGAAUGCCGUCAUCUUAUACUUGGGAGUCAGACUGUGGGUGAUAAGAUUCAUAGUCGAAAGGGCAACAGCCCAGAUCGUCAGCUAAGGUCCCUAAAUGUAAGUUAAGUGGUAAAGGAUGUGGGAUUGCACAGACAACCAGGAUGUUGGCUUAG
This 875-nucleotide ribosomal RNA is filed under the name Clostridioides difficile. RNAcentral describes it as "partial 23S ribosomal RNA". It matches the Rfam family "Bacterial large subunit ribosomal RNA", at positions 230 to 1109 of the family's 2925-position model. Lineage: Bacteria; Bacillati; Bacillota; Clostridia; Peptostreptococcales; Peptostreptococcaceae. The record is from RNAcentral.